GACGAACGCUGGCGGCGUGCUUAACACAUGCAAGUCGAACGGUGAAGCGCCUUCCUUUUUGGUGGGUGUGGAUGAGUGGCGAACGGGUGAGUAACACGUGAGUAACCUGCCCCCUUCUUCUGGAUAACCGCAUGAAAGUGUGGCUAAUACGGGAUAUUCUGGGUCUGUCGCAUGAUGGGUCUGGGAAAGAUAUUGUUUCGGUGGGGGAUGGGCUCGCGGCCUAUCAGCUUGUUGGUGGGGUGAUGGCCUACCAAGGCGGUGACGGGUAGCCGGCCUGAGAGGGUGGACGGUCACACUGGGACUGAGCCACGGCCCCGACUCCUACGGGAGGCAGCAGUGGGGAAUAUUGCACAAUGGGCGCAAGCCUGAUGCAGCGACGCCGCGUGAGGGAUGGAGGCCUUCGGGUUGUGAACCUCUUUCGCCAGUGAAGCAGGCCUGCCUCGUUUGUGGGUGGGUUGACGGUAGCUGGAUAAGAAGCGCCGGCUAACUACGUG
This 494-nucleotide ribosomal RNA is filed under the name uncultured bacterium. RNAcentral describes it as "partial 16S ribosomal RNA". It matches the Rfam family "Bacterial small subunit ribosomal RNA", at positions 28 to 507 of the family's 1533-position model. The record is from RNAcentral.